RNAcentral lists this ribosomal RNA (468 nucleotides) under uncultured bacterium. RNAcentral's name for it is "partial 16S ribosomal RNA". It matches the Rfam family "Bacterial small subunit ribosomal RNA", at positions 28 to 507 of the family's 1533-position model. The record is from RNAcentral.
GACGAACGCUGGCGGCGUGCUUAACACAUGCAAGUCGAACGGAAAGGCCCUGCUUUUGUGGGGUGCUCGAGUGGCGAACGGGUGAGUAACACGUGAGUAACCUGCCCUUGACUUUGGGAUAACUUCAGGAAACUGGGGCAAAUACCGGAUAGGAGCUCCUGCUGCAUGGUGGGGGUUGGAAAGUUUCGGCGGUUGGGGAUGGACUCGCGGCUUAUCAGCUUGUUGGUGGGGUAGUGGCUUACCAAGGCUUUGACGGGUAGCCGGCCUGAGAGGGUGACCGGCCACAUUGGGACUGAGAUACGGCCCAGACUCCUACGGGAGGCAGCAGUGGGGAAUAUUGCACAAUGGGCGGAAGCCUGAUGCAGCAACGCCGCGUGCGGGAUGACGGCCUUCGGGUUGUAAACCGCUUUCGCCUGUGACGAAGCGUGAGUGACGGUAAUGGGUAAAGAAGCACCGGCUAACUACGUG